GAUGAACGCUGGCGGCGUGCCUAAUACAUGCAAGUCGAGCGAACGGACGAGAAGCUUGCUUCUCUGAUGUUAGCGGCGGACGGGUGAGUAACACGUGGAUAACCUACCUAUAAGACUGGGAUAACUUCGGGAAACCGGAGCUAAUACCGGAUAAUAUUUUGAACCGCAUGGUUCAAAAGUGAAAGACGGUCUUGCUGUCACUUAUAGAUGGAUCCGCGCUGCAUUAGCUAGUUGGUAAGGUAACGGCUUACCAAGGCAACGACGCAUAGCCGACCUGAGAGGGUGAUCGGCCACACUGGAACUGAGACACGGUCCAGACUCCUACGGGAGGCAGCAGUAGGGAAUCUUCCGCAAUGGGCGAAAGCCUGACGGAGCAACGCCGCGUGAGUGAUGAAGGUCUUUGGAUCGUAAAACUCUGUUAUUAGGGAAGAACAUAUGUGUAAGUAACUGUGCACAUCUUGACGGUACCUAAUCAGAAAGCCACGGCUAACUACGUG
This 497-nucleotide ribosomal RNA is filed under the name uncultured bacterium. RNAcentral's name for it is "partial 16S ribosomal RNA". It matches the Rfam family "Bacterial small subunit ribosomal RNA", at positions 28 to 507 of the family's 1533-position model. The record is from RNAcentral.